AGGAGUAUCUUCCUGCCUCCUAGGCCCUUGCCCUGUCCUCAGCAAGUCUUCUGUGGACUUUUGGCUAUGGUCACCUCAAAUCGAAAAUACUAUCGGUGCCUCUUGCUGAACUCAAGCUCUGGAGUGGCUCGCAGAGGAACCAGAGAUGUCAACAGAAGAGUAGUAUGGGUGAUGAUGAUGAUGAUGAUGAUGAUGAUGAUGAUGGUGACUUUGGCAUUGGCUAUGAGAGCCAAACUUCCUGUGACAACAAAAUGGAGCAAGAAUUGACUGAUACAGACACAGGAAAUGCAGACCUCCUUGAUUCAAAUGUCGAAGAAAAUAGCAACACUUUUUACACCAAAAAACAGUUAAUGGAGCACCUAGAAGGAAGCUCCCCCACUGCCAUCCCAAGCUCCUAGGUCGGAGAAGGUGAGCCAGUCCCAGAACCCAGAAGGAAGCACCCCUGCCACCAUGCCAAGCUCCUAGGGCAGAGAAGGUGAGCUGCAUGGGCACCAGAAGCACCCCUCCCCCCUAUGGAAAUGAGAAGACACGAAAACAAGCCUCAAAAACAGACUUCCAGAUCACCUACAGCAACCUCAAAGGCAAACGAGAUGGAACAAUCUGAUACUCAACCACCUGGACUCUCUGAACUGGCAACAAAAGAAGAUCUGGGAAAAAUGAAAUCAGAAAUAAUUACUCAGAUAACAGCAAAGAUUUUGCUCAUGGUGCAAGACAUGAUUAAUAAAUCUAGAGAGGACACAGAUAAA
This is a long non-coding RNA of Heterocephalus glaber (naked mole-rat), 746 nucleotides long. The record is from Ensembl. NCBI's taxonomy places the organism in Eukaryota, Metazoa, Chordata, Mammalia, Rodentia, Bathyergidae.